AACAUAAUAUUCUUAUCGAGGUGGAUUUGAUUCUUAUUAUUGGCCGACUUUUGAUGAUUUUUUAAUCAUUCAAUUAAUUGAACAUUGAACCACAGAAUAUAUAUUUCAUAUAUUCUGUGAUUGAACUUUGAACAGAAAUACAGACUACAUUCACAUAGAUUAAAGCCUCGUUCACACGGCGACAGUUGCUUGACACUAGUGUCGCGUAUCAAACGAUUUUGAUAUACGGCACUAGGUGUCACGACACACAAUAUCCUUGUCAUACUCAUUAGUGUCACCGUGUGAACGAGACUAUACACAUUUUAGUAAAAAAUUGUCACGUGUAAGUGUAUUCUUUAUAGUAAAACAUCCGAAGUAUCGCAUUGGCACAUAACCUUAAUUUUUAUUUAUUUCAAAAAAAUGAAAAUAAAAGGAAAUGAUGGCAAAAAAUCUUCAAAUUAAAUGAUUACCCAAUUUCUAUUUGUUAUAGAAUCUGCGGUAAUCAUUUCACAAUUAGUGAUUGUAAACAGUGCUCAGUAAAUUAGUAAAUAUGGUCAGAGGCUGUCUUAAAAAAUAAUAUAAAAAAAUACUUGCCUGGGAUAGAGAAGUAAAAUAAAUUUUAGUGAUUUACGGCAACAUUCGUACUACUCUGAGCACGACUAGUAAAUCGCACAAUAAAUCAGAAAAGCCUUAGAUACUUAAUAAUAUCUAAUUCACACACUUAUAGCAUACGAUAGCUGUGUACUCAAGCUAUAUGACGCUUAUUAUUGCUGUGAAAUACUGAUUAUUUUGAGACCUUAAGAUGCGGUACUAACCACCCAAGACAUGAUCAGUUGGUUGGGCGUCGUUGCAUUUCUAUUUGGCAUAGAAACGGUAAUCAUUUUACAAUCAGUGAUUAUAAACAAGGCUCAGUAAAUUUAAAGCGACAUAAUAAAUCAUCAAAGAGAAAAUCAUAUUUCUCCAACAAUGAGUUUGAAGAAAAUUAACAGACAAAUAAUGCAUUUGGAGACGUUACAGUUGAUGAUUAUAUUACACUUGGAAAAGCCUUAAAAACUUAAUAGUGUCUAAUUCACACACAAACUAAAAGUAACAUACCAAGUUAGAACAAAAUUUCGCGCACACAGCUGAUAGCUGCAGCAGUGCAAAGGCCAAACUUCCCCCACCUUGCUGGACGCAAUGUUUCUCAAAGACGUUGACGAUCUUUGGCUAGGAUGGUGGGGAAAGUUUGGCCUUUGCAAUAUUGCAGCAGUCAAUUGUAUGCGCGAAAAGUGACCAUUCUCUUUUGGAACAGGGUAUAGAGUCUUUAAAUAUAUAAUAAAUAAUAUUAGGGUAAUAUAUUUUAGGGCAAGGGAUGCUGUAGCAUCCCAGCCAGUCCGUGCCUGACUUCAAUAGUUCUAAUAAUUCUAUAUUAGUUCAUAAUAUAAAUUUAAAAAUGCAUAAGUUCACGGUUACAAUGCAAUUCGGUGACUAUGUUUUGAUUACGUACUGGAUACAUUCUUAAAUCAACGUAAUUACACUUGAACCAGUAAUAACGACGGGUUUUGUCAUAUUCUAAAUAAACGCAAUCGUCGUCCGUCAA
Molecule: long non-coding RNA, 1558 nt
Filed under: Acyrthosiphon pisum (pea aphid)
Lineage: Eukaryota; Metazoa; Arthropoda; Insecta; Hemiptera; Aphididae
Description: uncharacterized LOC100572712
Source: RNAcentral